GCGGGUAUAGCUCAGUGGCAGAGCAUCGGCUUCCCAAGCCGAGGGUCGUGGGUUCGAAUCCCAUUACCCGCUCCA
RNAcentral lists this transfer RNA (75 nucleotides) under Planctomycetota bacterium. RNAcentral's name for it is "tRNA-Gly". It matches the Rfam family "tRNA". Rfam says of the family: Transfer RNA (tRNA) molecules are approximately 80 nucleotides in length. Their secondary structure includes four short double-helical elements and three loops (D, anti-codon, and T loops). Further hydrogen bonds mediate the characteristic L-shaped molecular structure. tRNAs have two regions of fundamental functional importance: the anti-codon, which is responsible for specific mRNA codon recognition, and the 3' end, to which the tRNAs corresponding amino acid is attached (by aminoacyl-tRNA synthetases). tRNAs cope with the degeneracy of the genetic code in two manners: having more than one tRNA (with a specific anti-codon) for a particular amino acid; and 'wobble' base-pairing, i.e. permitting non-standard base-pairing at the 3rd anti-codon position. The record is from RNAcentral. Lineage: Bacteria; Pseudomonadati; Planctomycetota.